UGAGAAGAAAAGGAAGUAUGAGCAGCAAGGCACGGGGCAGUCAGGACCCCAGUCCCCCCUUCUCCCCAGGGACUUCCAGAGAAGCCAGAGGGUUCACACUGCACCUUCCUGCCCUUGCUGAAGUGCCCUGCAGUCUGUCUGCCAGGGCAAACGUUUGGGGCUACACAGGCUGGCCUAACAAUGCCACAGGUGCUGAUCUGGAGGGCCGCGAGGAGUGGUGGGGGCACUUAUAAAGAGGAGAGAAAGGAGGGGCUCACCUUCACGAGGCUUCUGAGAAGGGGGUACAAACUGCACAAGUGCAGAGGGCAGGAGAGACCUCAGCAUCUGCCCCGUAUGAGGAGUGUAUCAGAGCUGGGAAGGUGAUUCCAGAGAGGAAAAUGCAAGCUCCACUAAUAUAAAUGAGGUGAGGCAACCAGUGCACAGCAAGGGGUUCUGCAAGACCCAGCAACCUCACAAAUCCAAGGGAGGACCAGCAAUAGCUGGGGACAUGCUCAAGAACCAUGGCCCCCCAGAGCAAGUUCACGAAGCCAGGGCAAGGGGCAGCAGUGAGGACGGAUCUCUCCAUGAGUACUGUGGGUCUUAGCCUCAACUCAUUAAAAGGCCUCUAGAGACAAUAAUUAAAAUAACCAGUGGCUCCUCGAGGAAUGGAGGCUAAGGAGCAAACUGCCAAACUUAUUCUGGGUGGAAUUGGUCACUGUUUUCUAUGGAACACACAAGACUCAAGAAGGGCCAAUGAUCACUCUCACUGGGGGGUUGCCGUUGGCAACUGGAGGGAUGCUCAUACUUAACUGACUUAGAACUGGCUUGUGUUUAGCUUGGCAUGAUGGUAUUCCCAUUGUUUAGUAUUUUAAUUUCAACAUCAAAAUAAAGGCUGGAUAAGGGUGAAUGAGGAGGUAGCUGCCUCACCCAAGACAAGUCUUCAUUUGAAAGGGUAGCUGAUUACAUUUUCCUUAAUUUACAAAUUGUAUUUGACCCACUGUGCAUUUCUUUAAAGGUCGCACAGAGUUUGGGGUAUUCAUUUUCAGAAGAGAAAUGUUAUGGAUCUGCCUUCACUCUAAAUCCCAAAUCAGCCAGAGUUCCUGAGAUGACCAGGGCAGGCUGUUGAUCAAAGUUCAGAGAAAGAAUCAGCACUUGGAACAGGAGUCAACAUCAUAUCCAUCAGUUGGUCAAUCAACAAGUGAUUUAUUGAGAACGCAUUGUGUGCUCAGCAUUUAACUCAAAGAAUCAAAACACUUACAGACAUCAAGUAUGGAUUUUUAGAGAGACAUGGGAUAUGUGGUGAGAGGUUCUCUCAAAUCGUGUCACCGCAACUACUGUAUUUCCAAGCCUAGCUUUGGGCCCCAGAGCCAUCUAUCCGUAGCUAUUCUUGCACUAGCUACUACUUCUCCCACCCCUGAUCCCUUGGCCUCCAGACUGAAUGUCUGGCUCAACAAGACAAAAUGCUUGGCUCCUACGUCUCAGCUGGAGGCAGAUUACAUUCAACUGAGUAAUAGAAUUUGUUCUAUGGGGCAGCAGUAAAAAUACUAGUUUG
Long non-coding RNA from Cercocebus atys (sooty mangabey), 1531 nucleotides. RefSeq lists it as uncharacterized. The record is from RefSeq and is a predicted model, not a curated record. The transcript is spliced from 2 exons. NCBI's taxonomy places the organism in Eukaryota, Metazoa, Chordata, Mammalia, Primates, Cercopithecidae.